Piliocolobus tephrosceles (Ugandan red Colobus) is the source of this 1710-nucleotide long non-coding RNA. RefSeq lists it as uncharacterized. The transcript has 2 exons. The record is from RefSeq and is a predicted model, not a curated record. Lineage: Eukaryota; Metazoa; Chordata; Mammalia; Primates; Cercopithecidae.
ACGGAGUUUCACAACAUUGGCCAGGUUGGUCUGGUCUUGAACGCCUGACCUCAGGUGAUCUGCCUGCCUCAGCCUCCCAAAGUGCUGGGAUUACAGGCACGAGCCACCACGGCUGGCCAAUUUUCUCAUUUUAGAGAUGAUAAAACUGAGGCCCAGAAAAGGUGAAUUCAGUAAGCCACCGCGAAAGGUGUGAUCACCUCUCUCCUGGGAAGACCUGCUUGUUGAUACACAUAUUUUAUAAAUCGGUGGGAGUAAUUUUAUCCAACCAAACAAAAAUCCCAGCCCCUGACCCUAGGGAAUGAAAAAACAUGGGCUUCCAAACCUAUUCUGGGAAAAGUUUCGUCAUAAGUGGAUUAACUUCUGUUCGACAAGAAACGACUUUUUGACUUUAUUAUUACCAUCCAACGUAACUGUCAAGACCUCUGAAGGCAAGCUGCAAAGUCAGCCAGCCACAGUUCCCGGAAUGCUGACAGAAGGCACAGAGGCAUGGCUCCAAGACAAAGAACUACGUUACUCACAGCGUUAGCAGGAGCCGGAGUAUCAUUUCCUGUGCCAGUUCCUCAAGCACAGGGGAGAUAAGAAGGGCAGGUGACAAGGGCAAAGGCAGUGAGCUGCAGAACAAAACAGGAGCCCUGAGCUAGAUCUCUCAGUCUUUCAUCAUGGUCAGCCUGCCUGCGCUUUGCUCUAAAGAGACACCAACUCCAUCUUCCAAGGGUGUAAACAAACCUGCCCUUUGCUCCAGAAGGAGACGCUGUCUAUAUCUCCCAAGGCUGUGUGCUAUACAAAUAUCCUGGAAAAGAUGACCUAGAAAAAUCACUGUCAUCGCCUCUGCUUGCAAGAUGUGCAAGAACUAUGGAGGAUUAUCUCCCAACAAUUUCUACCUUUCAUUUCUACACCAUUAAGCUUUUGGCAAAUGUUUCCAUGCAUACGCCAAUCCGUCAGCCACUAUGAUUAAUCCAUCUGACAGACGUUGGGGCCCAAUCUGUUCCACGGCACAUUUAAUUAAAACCACCACCAACACACUGCAAGCAGUAGGAUAAGGCCAACUUCAACCAUGCCCCAGUGGCCUGGACCCAGCCGCUUAACUCUCACAAACAAUGAGUUUACCUUCAAAAAUCAGCUAGACCUGAAUUUCCUCUCCCUGAAGCAGACCAACGUAGGAUUUUGGCCUUCAAUCCACUGAAAAAACCACAAAAAGUUGCUUCAGAGAGAGAAAAGGAGGGGCUGCGAAAUUGUCUUUAGUCUUUCCAUGGAUCAGGUAAAGUUGUCAAAGAGGAAAGAAGGCAGGUAGAUUUAUCUCUGGGACUCCCAAAAAAGGACAACAGCACACUGGCCUAUAGCGGGUAUUCUGAGGGUAGCGAUGAGAAGCCCCACCGCUUCUGGGAAGGUGGAGGAGCCUCAGAACCUACGGAUGGCCACUAGGAGAUGUGCCCCUGGCAAUCGUCCUUGGACUUGGUGCACCUUCCUAUAAAGCACUCACGGGAUAUGAGUCAGACACACCAGUAACGCCACGCUACAUUCUGGUUAUAUCAUAGGUUAAUUGGGGUUUAGACCCCAGCCUGGCAUCCCAGUCACCAAAUUCAGCAUUGUUUUAAAAUGUUUCCUAGAACUUACUAUGUUACAAAUGAGCUUGUGGAACAUGUAAAUGAGGGAGGAUUUGUGCAAAAGACCUUAUAACAUAUGGUGUAACAAUUAAAUUUUAACACUAGA